AUCGAUCCUGUCCUAGUGAGUGGUCUUAGUAACACUUUUUAUCUGCAAACAUUGAAAAUUUUUUGGUUAAUAUGACGUUGGCGUUGUCGUCGUCUUCGUUCGAAGACAUUUGGUUUUCGCAUUAUAACUUUAGUACAAGUAAAUAGAAAUCAUUCCGGAUUAAUGAAAAUGUGUGUACUAACUUAAUUAACCAUAAUAGAUUGUCUAUACUAAUGACAACGAGAACAGGAUAAGGUACCGGUAUUUGAUUUAUCUAUUAACAAAUGUAAUAUGUUAAUAAAACUUAGUUUUAAAAAAGUUGAAUUCUUGGGGUUCUUUAUUAUGCUGAAUCUAAACAUGUACUUAGAUUUUUUAUUAUGGGCCCAGUUUUCUAGUUGGUCCAUAUCGGGUUCCAAAAUUAAACUUCGUUUGAUUUCAACAAAAAUUGAAUAUAAUAUGGGGUUCUUCGAUAUGUUGAAUCUAACCAUGAAUUUACAUUUUUAAUAUUUGGGACCGGUUAUCAAAUUGGUCCACAUUGAGGUCUAAAGGGUCUAAAAUUGAACAUUAUUUGAUUUCAUCAAAAAUUGAAUUCUUGGGGUUCUAUGAUAUGCCGAAUCUAACCAUGUAUUUAUAUUUUGGAUAUUGGACCAUAAUAGGUAAAUGUCCAAUUUUAAAUUUUUAAAUAAGUUUUUAAGUUUAAGUUCUUAGACCACAUUCAUUCUGUGUCAGAAACCUAUGUUGUAUCAACUAUUUAAUCACAAUCCAAAUGCAGAGAUGUAUCAAGCUUAAAUGUUGUGUCCAUACUUGCCCCAACUGUUCAGGGUUCGACCUCUGCGGUCGUAUAAAGCUGCGCCUUGUGGAACAUCUGGUUAAAUGUAGGGGACAGCUAUCAAGCUUAAAUGUUGUGUCCAUACUUGCCCCAACUGUUCAGGGUUCGACCUCUGCGGUCGUAUAAAGCUGCGCCUUGUGGAACAUCUGGUUAAAUGUAGGGGACAACUCUUGAUAAAAAAUAAGAAGAUGAAGGAGAUGAAGUACGAGAGCUUGUCUAUAAGACAACUAUCCACCAAUGAAGUGGAUGUAGAUAAUAAGAAAAACUCAACCCAUAUGAUGUAGUCGGCAAUAAAAGGCCACUACAUAACAAAUAUAAAACAAUUCAAUUGAGAAAAUUAACGGCUUAUUUUACCAAAAACAUAUAUGACAGACAGGAACCAACGACAACUACUAAACUACAGGCUCCUUACUUUGGACAGGUGCAUACAUAAUGUGGCGGAGCAAAACAUGUUUGCGAGCGCUCAAACCUAUUACCUAGAACAUUGGUAAAACACCCCAUAUAAAAUCAGUUGAAAAAGUCUCAACUCAUUAUAAAAAAAAUAUGUUAAUUGUUUCUAUUUACUUUAAACAGAUUUUGAAUUGUAAGUUACAGUUCCAUAAAGAAGGGAAACCUCGUUUUGAAUUAUCACCUAUCUUUCAUUACCUGCUAUACAAGUACACAUUUUACCAAUUGGCCAUCAAAACUAUUUUUAUACCCCCGCUUUAAAAAAGGGGGGGUAUACUGUUUUACCUCUGUCUGUCCGUCAGUCCGUCCGUCAGUCCGUCAGUCCGUCAGUCCGUCCGUCCGUCCGUCAGUCCGUCAGUCCGUCCGUCAGUCAGUCCGUCCCAUGAAACUUUCGUCACAUUUUUCUCAGGAACUACACAUCCACCCUUUCUGUAAUUUGGUAUCAACAUUUAUAUAUGUUAGCCAUACCGUGUGAUGCGUUUUCAGAUUCAUCACUUGACAACUUCCUGUUUACCGAACACUUGUAUGAUUUUACACAUAAUAGCCAAGUUGAAAAUUUUCGUCACAUUUUUCUCAGGAACUACACAUCCACCCUUUCUGUAAUUUGGUAUCAACAUUUAUAUAUGUUAGCCAUACCGUGUGAUGUGUUUUCAGAUUCAUCACUUGACAACUUCCUGUUUACCGAACACUUGUAUGAUUUUACACGUGAUAGCCAAGUUGAAAAUUUUCGUCACAUUUUUCUCAGCAACUACAAUACAAGGAUUUCUGAAAUUUGGUUUCAGGAUUUAUAUAAGUCAGCUAUACCGUGUGAUGCGUUUUCAGAUUCAUCACUCGACAACUUCCUGUUUACUGAACACUUGUAUGAUUUUACACAUGAUAGCCAAGUUGAAAAUUUUCGUCACAUUUUUCUCAGGAACUACAAUACAAGGAUUUCUGAAAUUUGGUUUCAGGAUUUAUAUAAGUCAGCUAUACCGUGUGAUGCGUUUUCAGAUUCAUCACUUGACAACUUCCUGUUUACCGAACACUUGCAUAUUUUUACACUAUUAAUAUUAUCCACUUGCGGCGGGGGUAUCAUCAGUGAGCAGUAGCUCGCAGUUUCACUUGUUACAUAUGAGGUUACUGGUAUGUGUCAUUGGACCCCGAAAGUGAUGAAGACUAUACGAGGAGAUUUUCGGAUUGGGUGUCGGACGGUUCAAACGACUAGACGCUGUAAAAG
This 2471-nucleotide long non-coding RNA is filed under the name Mytilus galloprovincialis (Mediterranean mussel). The record is from RNAcentral. Lineage: Eukaryota; Metazoa; Mollusca; Bivalvia; Mytilida; Mytilidae.